UAGCCAGGAGGGCUGACGCGCGACUCACGUACCUAGAGAGGCUACAUGAUAGAAUGUGGGUAAUGAAUUGUCUUUUUUUAACCAAACUUCCAUCUACGAAAGCAACGGGUUACCGUGUAGCUGCAGCUCCUCAUCAGUCAAUUCGUCCACGUCCAGUGUCAGCGUACAGUGGCAACAUGCAAGGUGGGAGCCCAUGAUGCUAAAAUGUGACGUUUGACCUCCAAAUUCUCUUGGGAUGAAUGAGGAAACAACCCCAUGGAACCCUCCAGUAGGUGACAGUAUGUCGUCAGCAGUGGAGGCCAGUAUGUACAACAGUAUUCAGGCCAUCCUCAGACAGGCUGCCUCCUCAUGCAACAAAGGUAUGCUGAGGUGGACUCUUCAUAAGAAGGUGGAGACCCAUCCAUCUAACAGUGUCUCACUGGUCAGGGUUCUGGUCAAAGAGCUAGAGAAGGUGGAGAGACUUGACUAUAAGAUGCAUGUCAUUCCAUUGCUUCACACUCUCAACUAUGUUAUUAUUCAGCAGUCUAGCCACAUUCCAUGCAACCUGUUUCAGAGAGUGUAUGAGUGCUUCAAACGGCUCCUAACACUUCCAGAGCCCUACUGUACUAUCGCACUGAGAUACAUGAGAGGCAUAAAGAUGGAGCAGAUCACACCAGCUCCCUCCCCGACAAUAACUUCCUCCACAGGAGCUUUGUAUCAGAGAAGGGUGAUUGCUGAGCAGAGCCUAAGGAACAAACAUUUCCCCCAGCAGGAAAAGGUAUUUGUGUUUGCAGACCCGGCUGUGUUCUCAGGGCCCCUGUGGCAGGCGGUGAGGGCAGACCUGGUGCUGGCCAGCCCCCAAAGCGACGUACUGGCAAGACGGGUGUUACUGCACACUCUGCAGGCUGGACUGGUGAAGGCCUGUCAUGGUCCCAUACUGACUCAAGCUCUGGAGGAUCUAGGAGAAGAUGUGGAGCAGUACUUCCAGGAGGUGGUGUUAGCUGUAGAGCAGAGUAUAGAGAACGGCGAGGCAGGCCGUGACCAGUACCUAACCAGGCUACAGCACAUCUACAGGGACAUCCUGACCUCUGCUAACCAAGACCCAAAGGCCCAUGGCUCUCUUUCUAACACUCCAUUGCCCUCGCCAGAGAUUCAGUUCCACCUGUGGACAAACGAAGAGGAGCUGUGGAAUGAGCUGGUAAACUUCACCCUAAACGUUUCCACCUCUGAGCGGAACUCUAUGUACCAGGAGGAGGAAGAGGAGGAUGUUUCUAAGAGGGUUUCCCACCUGUCUGUUGAUAGUGGAAUAGAGAAGGACCUGUCUGACAUGGGGGAGCGGGAACAGAGGAAUCCAUUCACUCGGUCACGGUCACCGUGUUUCAGAGGGAGAAUGAAGCCAGAAGACAAAAUGGCUCUGGUACAGGAAAACAUCAAGGGGCCCACCUGUAGCACCCCUCUCCCUAAAGAGGAGGGGAACCAUACCGCACGCAUAGUGAUGAUGGGAGACGACAGGGUGCUGGGGAGACUGGCCAAGGUGUAUCACUCCAUCCGAAAACGGGAGGCAAAACAUCUCAUCUUGACCAAGAGAGUGAACCUACAGAUAUACUACAUCCCUGUCACUGAUGAGCCUAUUGUCAAUUCACCUGAAAGCACAUCACAAGUCGGAGACAGGUUGUCUCUAGCCUCGUUCUUAGGAAGGGUCGAUCCCUGGUACGAAAGCAACAUCAUCAGUUUGGGAGCCAUGAUUCCAAAGCUGGCAGGAACGCAGUCCAGUCACAGCAGGUCAUCAGAACCCAACCACUUCCUUGUGGAUGUCCUCUCCUACUACCUUCGCUGUGGCCUACAGCCUGUCCACUUCACACUCUACUCUGUCAAGAUCUCUGUCUCUGGCCAGACUGGCAGCCCUGUGGACGAUGUGUUUGUGUCCCACCUGGAUGCUGAGUUCCCGGAGUCUAAAACACUCAGAGAAAAUCUGAGACAAGAGAGAUCUAGUAGGCGACGAACAAGGAAGACACUUGGAACCUGUGGAGUGGUGGUUUCUGUGAAUUACAGUAAGGUCUCCUUGAGCAAACAAGAGGUUGUUCAGGGAAUGUCAGUCAUGACAUGUGGAGUGGGCAUCAGUGCAAUAUCACCCAAUGAAACAGAAGGUCUUGAUUUCCUCACUGUCAAUUUUGACAGUACAAAUCCAAGAUGCUGCACGGAGAUCAGAACCCAAAACAUUAAAAUCAGAAUCCUGGAGGAUAAGACCUUCACUGUCUGUCUGGACAAAGACUGUCGCAGGAAAUACACACAUGUGCAAAGCAUUGAGAUCUCUCCAUGUUUGGAUCCAGGGUAUUGCCUCCAGACAAGUUCCAAGUCCAAGUUCAGUGUGGGAGAGGAGAGGGAGUCGGGGCUGAGCAAAUACAUGUGCAAGAUCCUGCCUCUGCCAAUCAAUACCUUCACUGGCAUCAACCACUGAAGGGAUUUGAUUAUUUGGCCCGGGCUCCAUCCCAGGCGUGAGCCAGGUGCCCCGCUCUGGCCAACGGCGAAGUACAUGUUAAUCAAUAAUUGGAAGAAGCAAUUUCAUAAAUUCAUUAAGUGCAGCGUCAUUAAUCACGUAAGACCAAAACAUUUUCUUUUUACAUCAUCCACACAAUAUUUUGCUGUGACUUUUAUAUCAUCUCUUGUACACUAUUUUAGGCCCAGCUUUUGGAACUUUGUCUUUCCUAGAUAUAGCCACUAUAUUGUGAUCACUACAUCCAAUGGGUACGGAUACAGCUUGAGAACAAGGUUCUACAGUAUUAGUAAAAAUGUGGUCAAUACAUGUGGAUGAUCUUGUGUCUGUAAACACCCUGGUUAUUUGUUUUUGAGUGAUGCAACAUGUACCUAGUAGACAACAUGAUGGAGCAUGACGGACUCCCUUCCGGCACCGACAGAGAUGGCCGCCUCGCUUCACGUUCCUAGGAAACUAUGCACUCGAUGUCACAGGAAGGCCAUAAAGAUCAUCAAGGACAACAACCACCCGAGCCUGUUCACCCCGCUAUC
RNA transcript from Oncorhynchus gorbuscha (pink salmon), 3003 nucleotides. It is a transcript of the gene named phosphoinositide 3-kinase regulatory subunit 6-like, with no coding region annotated. NCBI's taxonomy places the organism in Eukaryota, Metazoa, Chordata, Actinopteri, Salmoniformes, Salmonidae. The transcript is spliced from 21 exons. The record is from RefSeq and is a predicted model, not a curated record.